CAAGUCUGGUGCCAGCAGCCGCGGUAAUUCCAGCUCCAAUAGCGUAUAUUAAAGUUGUUGCAGUUAAAAAGCUCGUAGUUGGAUUUCUGUUAAUAAUUUAUAUAUAAUAUUUUAAUAUAUUUAUAUAAUAUUAACAUAAUUCAUAUUACUAUAAUUAUUUUUAGUAUAUGAAAUUUUACUUUGAGAAAAUUAGAGUGCUUAAAGCAGGCAUAUGCCUUGAAUACUCCAGCAUGGAAUAAUAUAAAAGAUUUUUAUCUUUUUUAUUGGUUCUAGGAUAAAAAUAAUGAUUAAUAGGGACAGUUGGGGGCAUUUGUAUUUAACAGUCAGAGGUGAAAUUCUUAGAUUUGUUAAAGACAAACUAAUGCGAAAGCAUUUGCCAAGGAUGUUUUCAUUAAUCAAGAACGAAAGUUAGGGGAUCGAAGACGAUCAGAUACCGUCGUAGUCUUAACCAUAAACUAUGCCAACUAGAGAUUGGAGGUUGUUCCUUACUCCUUCAGCACCUUA
Molecule: ribosomal RNA, 504 nt
Filed under: Cryptosporidium suis
Lineage: Eukaryota; Apicomplexa; Conoidasida; Eucoccidiorida; Cryptosporidiidae
Description: SSU rRNA
Rfam family: Eukaryotic small subunit ribosomal RNA
Source: RNAcentral